ACUCCUACGGGAGGCAGCAGUGGGAAGUAUUGCACAAUGGGGGAAACCCUGAUGCAGCCAUGCCGCGUGUGUGAAGAAGGCCUUGGGUUGUAAAGCACUUUCAGUAGGGAGGAAGGUAGUGUAGUUAACACCGCAUUAUUUGACGUUACCUACAGAAGAAGCACCGGCUAACUCCGUGCCAGCAGCCGCGGUAAUACGGGAGGGUGCGAGCGUUAAUCGGAAUUACGUGGGCGUAAAGCGCAUGCAGGCGGCCUGUUAAGUCAGAUGUGAAAGCCCGGGGUCUUAACCUCGGAAUUGCAUUUGAAACUGGCAGGCUAGAGUCUUGUAGAGGGGGUUAGAAUUUCAGGUGUAGCGGUGAAAUGCGUAGAGAUCUGAAGGAAUACCAGUGGCGAAGGCGGCCCCUGGACAAAGACUGACGCUCAGAUGCGAAAGCGUGGGAGCAAACAGGAUUAGAUACCCCUGGUAGACUGUCA
RNAcentral lists this ribosomal RNA (473 nucleotides) under uncultured bacterium. RNAcentral describes it as "bacterial SSU rRNA". It matches the Rfam family "Bacterial small subunit ribosomal RNA", at positions 335 to 802 of the family's 1533-position model. The record is from RNAcentral.